Molecule: non-coding RNA, 82 nt
Organism: Crenichthys baileyi (White River springfish)
Lineage: Eukaryota; Metazoa; Chordata; Actinopteri; Cyprinodontiformes; Goodeidae
Source: the annotation of a GenBank genome assembly
GGUGGAACUGAAUUGUGGCUCAGUGGGAAGAGUAGUUGUCUCGUAAUCUGAACGUUGUGGGUUUGAUUCCACCUUUCCACCA